CAGGGCCCUGCACAGACGAGUAUUUAAUAAGCAUCUACCUGUGCCAGACGCCGCGCGUAGUGCUGGGGAUAUAAAGACAAAAAAAGACACAUUCCCUGUCCUCAGGAGGGAUCACAAUUUAAUGAUGGUGACAAUAUUAAGUAUGAAUCCAGAUAGUAAGUAGCACAGCGGCUUAUACAUAAAUACAAGCUAACCUGGGGGUUGGUGGGGGAGGGAAAGAGGCACCAAGUGUUUGUAGAAUUGUAUCAUACUCAGUCAUAGCUCAGUCAACGAGUGUUAUUUAGCUGUUAUUAGUCACGUUCCUGGACGGUGGUUUUGGAUAAAACCAGGAGAAGGUUCCAAAAAGCCCCUUUCCUCUUUCCCCCACCCACCACCUCCUCUUUUCUGAGGUUUACUCAACUGCCCUUUGAUUUCCUCUCAGAUUCUGGGAGCUGAGACUGAGGAGGACCUUUCUGAGCCUGCAUUCUCUGAUAAGCUGGCAGAUGUGGGAAUCUCCCUUAGCAUUUAUGUAGCAGUGGAAAUUUCUGUUCUUGGUGCUCUUCCAAGGACAGUCGGGAGAUUUUAUAGUUGGACAUCAAUGGACUGGCUCUUGGAACAAUCCAGAAGGAAUAAAAGGACUCAAAAAUAGCCAGUGGGGAUGGAGAAGUCCAACCCUAGCCAACUACCCCUGAGUAAGAGUUAAAAAAAAAUAAUAAAGUAACUGUUUAAGUGGACA
This 715-nucleotide long non-coding RNA is filed under the name Phascolarctos cinereus (koala). Its description in RNAcentral is "lncRNA (ENSPCIG00000035454.1)". The record is from RNAcentral. Lineage: Eukaryota; Metazoa; Chordata; Mammalia; Diprotodontia; Phascolarctidae.